RNAcentral lists this ribosomal RNA (255 nucleotides) under uncultured bacterium. RNAcentral's name for it is "partial 16S ribosomal RNA". It matches the Rfam family "Bacterial small subunit ribosomal RNA", at positions 524 to 776 of the family's 1533-position model. The record is from RNAcentral.
UACGUAGGGACCAAGCGUUGUCCGGAAUCAUUGGGCGUAAAGAGCGUGUAGGCGGCUUGUUAAGUCUUGCGUGAAAUCUCGGGGGCUCAACCCCGAGCGGUCGUGAGAAACUGGCAGGCUAGAGUGCGGGAGAGGAGAGUGGAAUUCCUGGUGUAGCGGUGAAAUGCGCAGAUAUCAGGAAGAACACCCGUGGCGAAGGCGGCUCUCUGGAACGCAACUGACGCUGAGACGCGAAAAGCGUGGGGAGCAAACAGG